UACGGGAGGCAGCAGUGGGGAAUAUAGCACAAUGGGCGAAAGCCUGAUGCAGCUAUGCCGCGUGUAUGAAGAAGGCCUUAGGGUUGUAAAGUACUUUCAUCGGGGAGGAAAAAACAAAACUAAUAAUUUUAUUUCUUGACGUUACCCGAAAAAGAAGCACCGGCUAACUCCGUGCCAGCAGCCGCGGUAAUACGGAGGGUGCUAGCGUUAAUCAGAAUUACUGGGCGUAAAGAGCACGUAGGUGGUUUUUUUAAGUCAGAUGUGAAAUCCCUGGGCUUAACCUAGGAACUGCAUUUUGAAACUGAAAUACUAGAGUAUCGUAGAGGGAGGUAGAAUUCUAGGUGUAGCGGUGAAAUGCGUAGAUAUCUGGAGGAAUACCUGUGGCGAAAGCGGCCUCCUAAACGAAUACUGACACUGAGGUGCGAAAGCGUGGGGAGCAAACAGGGAUUAGAUACC
Molecule: ribosomal RNA, 456 nt
Filed under: uncultured bacterium
Lineage: Bacteria
Description: bacterial SSU rRNA
Rfam family: Bacterial small subunit ribosomal RNA
Source: RNAcentral